Molecule: ribosomal RNA, 433 nt
Filed under: uncultured bacterium
Lineage: Bacteria
Description: partial 16S ribosomal RNA
Rfam family: Bacterial small subunit ribosomal RNA
Source: RNAcentral
AACGAACGCUGGCGGCAUGCCUAACACAUGCAAGUCGAACGAGACCUUCGGGUCUAGUGGCGCACGGGUGCGUAACGCGUGGGAACCUGCCCUUAGGUUCGUAAUAACUCCCCGAAAGGGGUGCUAAUACCGGAUCAUGUCUUCGGUCCAAAGAUUUAUCGCCUUUGGAUGGGCCCGCGUUGGAUUAGCUAGUUGGUAGGGUAAAAGCCUACCAAGGCGACGAUCCAUAGCUGGUCUGAGAGGAUGAUCAGCCACACUGGGAGUGAGACACGGCCCAGACUCCUACGGGAGGGAGCAGUGGGGAAUAUUGGACAAUGGGCGAAAGCCUGAUCCAGCAAUGCCGCGUGAGUGAUGAAGGCCGUAGGGUUGUAAAGCUCUUUUACCCGGGAUGAUAAUGACAGUACCGGGAGAAUAAGCUCCGGCUAACUCCGUG